Molecule: long non-coding RNA, 3113 nt
Organism: Halichondria panicea
Lineage: Eukaryota; Metazoa; Porifera; Demospongiae; Suberitida; Halichondriidae
Exons: 11
Source: RefSeq, a predicted model, not a curated record
UAUGAUCCAGUUAUAAGCCACUCAUGGAAAUAGAUUCGAGAGGCUAACGAAGAUAAAUAUUUAUUUUGCUCAAACAAGUUAAAGAAGAAGAGGAAACACUACCCUAUAGUCAGAUCAAGAAAAUGCACCGAGUUGUUCAGGGAAAGGGAAUCGUGUCAACUCAAUUCAGGAGUGACCAAGAGGGCCAUAAUGAGCCUUUUGAUGAUAUGACACUAAGUCAAGCCGGAUACAAAGUACAGGAUAAUGUUUCAAAGUCAGAAACAAAGCCGUCUGGAAUUCCAGUGCCAUUGCUGUCUGCAUAUCUCAUCAGUGUACAUGAACAGCGUGCUUUCAACUCAUUGGACAACUCUCUCCGGUCGUUUGUUAUACAGGGAAUCAAUAGAAUCGAUUCCUCUUUGAAUGUUGGUCUGUUGAUCUAUUAUAAUUUCACUGAGCAUGGAGUUUCUUUUCGUCUCACGCUGUGGGUUGCACUUCAGUGAUGGUAUACAGUGGGUAUACUGGUGCAGUUGUGAUAGUGCACGUGGCCACUUACUAAAUAGCUGCUCCACUUCGGUUGAUUCCACAUAUGAUGCAUUCACAAGCAUUGUUGGCUCUGAAUGUAUCCACAUCGAACCAACUAGACUGAUUAUCCAAGAGACUGACAAUAUUCACAACAUUACAUCAGCUCAAGAAUUAUCAGAUCAUUCGUAUACUUUGAAUAUCGAACCUCACAAGGAGGACACCUCCUACAGUAUAAAUGUUGGCACAGAGGUUGUAUGCUCUAUUGGGCAGGCGGUAUGUACAAGAGCUGAUAUAGUGGCCAUGUGUUGUACAAGUUCGUAUUGAUGAUAAACAAUUAAGGGGUCUGUACUGUUGUACAUGCAUGCAAGUACAAUAAACAGCACAGUUCACAUGUGGAUAUUGUCGAGAAAGCAUUGAAUAGCCCGGAUGAGGAUAAACAUGACUGCCUCAAUAAAAUUGCAAAAGAUCUGUCUAGUGUGCAGCAGAAUAGACAAGUGCAUGUGCAUGCAUCAGUAUCGGUCCCUUAAUUUCAUCAAGCAGUAUAUACCGUUCAAUUUAUCAAGUGAAUUGUCUCAACAACUGGCAUGUACUGUAGCUGAUCGCUUCAACAUUGUAAACAACACUUCUAUUUUGGGCUCAGUUGACACAUAUUGUAAAGAGUGCAGUACGCUUACACGAGAUGAAGAAGACAAGCAGGAAUCUGUACGGAGCAAAAUUAUACUGCUCAAUACAGUUAUCAAUGCGAAUGUGCAUGUUAGGUAUUGCUCAGGAUGUAAGAAACGUAAAGAAUUUGAUGGCCAACUAGUAGGAUUAGUGACUAUGGGCAAGUUCCUGGUAUCCUAUGAAGUUCUGCGAGGUUUUAUGCAUCAAUUCCUUUUGGGAAGAACAACUAUAUAUACCCAGUAUUGUGUGUUGGUUAAAAACCAUGAAGAUGCAGGAUUCGGCGAUCAGUUUAAUAAGUAUAAUAUGUGUUUACAUACAAUCACUAUCGGUUGUCGUGGUAUGCCUUUCUUGACCUGUUAGACAUUGAUUAUCAAGUAGGAUUUCAGUACACUGCGUGUGGAGAUUGUCCACCCAUUGUUGUCAUGGAUGCUACUUGUUUAGCAUUCAGAAAAGACCUUAUGCCCUGGAAGUCCCAACUCAACGGUUCUGGAGUUCAUAAAACCUCAUCCCCUAUCAGCUGUACUGGAAGAUAAGUGCAAAUUUUCCCAUGUCAUCAACCACUGUAUAUAAUGAUUAUAUAUAUAAUGAUAGUCCUCCCUGAGCUAAGACAAAAUAAAUACCUUGCCAAGCAUGCAUGCACAGAUUUAUUCAAAACUUGAAUCCAUUUGUAGAAGAUGCCUCUCAUCAUAGUAAUCAUAUACAGUGUGGCGAAAGCUGUUUUACUUAUUUAGCAAUUAUUGUUGUGAUAAGUUUAGGAUCAUGCGGACAGCUGAAAAGUUACUGUAUUUAUUUUCUUUCAACACUAGUUUCCAUGAUCGGAUAUACAUCAACAACAAGACAAUUACAUGCACGCAGCUGAAGAUGUUUACUACAAAGAAGUGUAUAAGCCAGCAUGAAUUCACUUCUCUUCUAGAAUUACUAUAUUUGCACGCACCAAGUUUGGUCAAACUUAUCACCACAAUAGCUAAAGAAGUCAACGAGGCUGAUACAGCUGUCUCCUGUUGCAAGCACUGGAUUAAUUUACUGCAAGCUCUCAGUUCAGCAUCACCUGUGUGUGCUUUGGUACCACCUACAGAAGAAGUGCACAAAAUGCUAAAGGAAAUGGAGUCUUCUGGCUCCUUGAAGUCAAAUGCAAAAAAGAUGGCCUUUCUACAAAAGGAAGCUCCAGUACUGUUCACUUUAAUUGAAUGUCUUCCUUCUUACCCCACUGAAGCAUUGCAGCCUAUACUAAAAAGGCUUGUGGAAUUAUCAUUAGCCCCAUUUACGCAAGACUUCACAGAGUCUAGUACUGGUGACCACACUGACAUUAAUGAUGAUGAUAUGAUAUCGUACUUUCCAAAGCUUCCUUCACUAAGAAAACGAAAGAUUUAUAAGGCUGACAGUUCUAAAUCCUCUGUAUAUGUACAAAAAAAAAGCUCAAGACAUCCAUCACUGCUACCGGGGAUAUUUACUCUGUAUUGUCAGCAUGGAAUUUGCUAUGGAUUCCAACUGAUGGAAGUUCAGGAAUCCCCCAACAUUCCUUUCACUAUCUUAUAUGAACGAUUCUCAUUAGCACCUGAAGUCAUCAUAUACGACAAUAGUUGCAACCUGCACCAAUACUGCUUGAAUAGAGAGCCCCCCUUUUUCAGGCACAGUCGGUUUCUAUAGGUCUAGUAGAUCGUUUCCAUUGGCCAAAUCAUUCAGGAUGCAGUGUUGCUUACAAAAUGAGCACCUAUAGACAAUAAUGAUGCCUUGAACAGCCAGAUGGUAGAGCAAAGCAAUUCAUGCUUGAAGAGAAUCAAAUCGUCACUGUCGUAUAUGAAUAAAAGAAAUUUCCUCACACAUUGUGGAUUUUAUUUAUGGUAUCACAAUCAGAAAAAACUAUAAGUAUAAUGUACUCACAUGCAUGAUGGUCUUGUCAUGCACUUUUUGUUUUUACAACCAUGAAUUUAAAAUUGUGGCGUCACUUG